UACGAGGCCGAGGGAGGAAUUCUGUCGUCUGGGAACGGCUGGUUUCGCGGUCAGACGCCGAGGGCCCUCGAAGUCCCUAGCAACGGCUGCGGAGGGAGAUGUAAGUCGUUUUGGACGCAGGCUCAGUGUUUGGUCCCAGCGUUCGGUGGAGUCCGGAGAGACUCAGGAUCAGAUGAGUCGGGGUCUGGAUGUGGCUCCAAGUGAAAGGCCUGUGGGGUCCACCUAGGUCCGUGCAGGUUACAAAUGGCAACCAGAACAGGGACUCCAAGCACGCCCAACUAGCAGCAUCCAAACAUGGGACUUCAAGGACGUGAAUGAAGAAGGUCUGCUGGAGCAGAGGAACUGAAAUUGACAAGGCGAAAGGGGACCCUGGGAAGAGUCUGCCGGCAGCAGAUAUAAGUCUGUAAAAUCGGAUGGACCACCAAUUGGAGAAUGAGAGCCUCCCAGCCCAGCCUUACAUUCUUUCAAUUAAUACAUAAACAGAAAGGGGGAUAUGCAGGGAGCCAAAGGCCUGUGGGACGUGACCAACUCAGCAUUCUGCUGGAGGCUAUAUGAUCAAACAGCAAACUGUUUAUCAUGAAUACAGGAUGUGAGCAAACUCAGGACUGCUCCUGCCAACAUAAGGUUUGCUGGAGGCAAUCACUCCCUGGCACCGAGGUUAUCUACUGCGACAUCUAGAGAAUGCAGUCUUGCAAGCCUACUCUGAACUGAGCAGCCGACCCCUUCUUCCACCCCCCCACCCUCCUAUCUCUUUUGCCUAAUAAAUACGGAGGGCUGUGUAAAGCUCAGGGCCCUUGUCCACUAGAGGUAAGGUGCUCCCUGACCCCUUCUCCCAAAUAUACUCUUUUGUCUCCUGUCUUUAUUCCCACGUUCACCCCCAUUUGUGCAGUCCCAUGGGUCCAUGUGGGUUACGGCCCGCCACCGCGCCUGGCUGAUUUUUGUAUUUUUAGUAGAGAUCGGAUUUCAGCAUCUUGGUCAGGCUGGCCUUCAACUCCGGAUCUCAUCACACACCCGCCUCAGCCUCCCCACAUGCGGUUAUUAUAGUUGAUAUGUCUGAACCAAAAUGAUAUGGGAAGCUUGAGAAUAAAAGGUUGGAGACAAUAUGCCACAGAGAGAGUAACCAAAGAUAAUCUGUUAUAACUAUAUCUCAGACAAAACUGACCAGAAAUCCUAAAGAAUUAACAGAGAGAAAGAGAAACAAUGCUCACUGAAAAGAGGUGAAAUUUGGCUCUUCAUUCAUAGAAAUACACCAUAUGUAUACCCCUAACAACAGUCUUGAAAUGUAUACAGCAAAAAAUAGAACCAAAAACAAGAAAUAGAAAAUUCAGACUAAAGACUUUAACAGACCUUUC
This 1352-nucleotide long non-coding RNA is filed under the name Homo sapiens (human). RNAcentral's name for it is "HSALNT0398601". Lineage: Eukaryota; Metazoa; Chordata; Mammalia; Primates; Hominidae. The record is from RNAcentral.